ACGAACGCUGGCGGCGUGCUUAACACAUGCAAGUCGAACGGAAAGGCCCUGCUUGCAGGGUACUCGAGUGGCGAACGGGUGAGUAACACGUGGGUGAUCUGCCCUGCACUUCGGGAUAAGCCUGGGAAACUGGGUCUAAUACCGGAUAGGAGCCAUUUUUAGUGUGAUGGUCGGAAAGUUUUUUCGGUGUAGGAUGAGCUCGCGGCCUAUCAGCUUGUUGGUGGGGUAAUGGCCUACCAAGGCGGCGACGGGUAGCCGGCCUGAGAGGGUGGACGGCCACAUUGGGACUGAGAUACGGCCCAGACUCCUACGGGAGGCAGCAGUGGGGAAUAUUGCACAAUGGGCGCAAGCCUGAUGCAGCGACGCCGCGUGGGGGAUGACGGCCUUCGGGUUGUAAACUCCUUUCGCUAGGGACGAAGCUUUUUGUGACGGUACCUAGAGAAGAAGCACCGGCUAACUACGUG
RNAcentral lists this ribosomal RNA (464 nucleotides) under uncultured bacterium. RNAcentral's name for it is "partial 16S ribosomal RNA". It matches the Rfam family "Bacterial small subunit ribosomal RNA", at positions 29 to 507 of the family's 1533-position model. The record is from RNAcentral.